UACGGGGGGGGCAAGCGUUGUUCGGAAUUACUGGGCGUAAAGGGCUCGUAGGCGGCCAACUAAGUCAUACGUGAAAUCCCUCGGCUUAACCGGGGAACUGCGUCUGAUACUGGAUGGCUUGAGAUUGGGAGAGGGAUGCGGAAUUCCAGGUGUAGCGGUGAAAUGCGUAGAUAUCUGGAGGAACACCGGUGGCGAAGGCGGCAUCCUGGACCAGCACUGACACUGAGGAGCGAAAGCCAGGGGAGCAAACGGG
RNAcentral lists this ribosomal RNA (253 nucleotides) under uncultured bacterium. RNAcentral's name for it is "partial 16S ribosomal RNA". It matches the Rfam family "Bacterial small subunit ribosomal RNA", at positions 524 to 776 of the family's 1533-position model. The record is from RNAcentral.